Molecule: transfer RNA, 64 nt
Filed under: Deltaproteobacteria bacterium
Lineage: Bacteria; Pseudomonadati; Myxococcota; Myxococcia
Description: tRNA-OTHER
Source: RNAcentral
GGAAGCGUGAGUCCCAACAGGGGUCAUUCCGAUCACGCGGGUUCAAGUCCCGUCGCCUCCACCA